Molecule: long non-coding RNA, 241 nt
Filed under: Bemisia tabaci
Lineage: Eukaryota; Metazoa; Arthropoda; Insecta; Hemiptera; Aleyrodidae
Description: lncRNA ENSSWEETPG008983
Source: RNAcentral
AAACUGAACUGAAUUCAUUGAGUGAUAGUGAAAAUAGAGACGAUCAAGAUGCAAGAUGUUCUGAUACUGCUCUCCUCCUGUAAUUGUCAAUAAUCAAGCUCAUUUACAGGCUUAUGUGAAAGAAGUAACAGAAGAACUGGCAACGGAGAUCAAGUCUGAACUGAGGGAAGUAAUUGCAACGGUAGAUAGUGCCUAUCGGAAAGCUCAGAAAGUUUAUCAGAAUAUAAUUACAUAGACCGAA